UUUGUUUUUAUCCAUCUAUUUUAAUUUGCCCAUACAAUUUGUCAAGGAGUUAGAGUAUGGCAAAGUUUAUUGAAUAAGAAAUAAAACAAUUUGAAGAUCAACAAAUGAGGUGAGAAUAUAUCAAACUGAUGAUAGGAGUCUGCGACCUAGCAUACAACGCGUUUAAACUAGACCAUAAUCUUUUAUCUUAUAUAUGGAGUUUGCUACAAUAGAUCCCCUCAUUUUUAUGAAGGUCUAUUUUAGCAUGAUUCACCUUUUUGUUUAGGACAAAAACACCCAUUUUGUAUUCUUUUAAAACAUAUAAAUCUGAAGGGUAAACAUGUAAUUCAAAUAUUACUAAUUAAUGUUUUUUAUUUCUUGUAUUUUUUUCCUCUCCUCCAUCUCUCUCAUCGAUUUUCUCUAUGAGUUUCUAUUGCUUCCAUUCUUCUCUUCCUUUUUUUUUUUUUUUUUUAAAUUUGGGUGAAAGGAUAAGUUCUUGAAGAGAUUGGAAAACAUAAAUUAAGAAUUGAAGAUUGAACAUCUGGAAACCACAACAACACAACAUAUUCAAACACAUCUAUAAACAACUUUGGCAAAAUAAAUUUUGUUGCAGGAAAUGAAAAAGAUGCAUUCCCAACAUGUAAAGUUCAAUUCUCAUAUAUGAUUUGUAAUUAUAUUGGAUUGGAUUUCUUUUUUCUUGCUUCCAAUAAAAUUAGUUUGGUUUUGUGCGUUUGAAAUUUUUUAGGAACAUGAACAAAAAAACACAUCAAAGAAGAAAACGUGAAUUGAGAAAGAGAGGAUGACAGAAGAAAGAGAACGAGUGGGACCCAAACAGAAGAUCAAAAGUAGAAAAUAUAAAAGAAAAAUGUUCCAUAUACACCCUUUAUUCAUCCCUCCCAUUAUACACCCCAUAUAUUAAGUAUAUUUUGAUAAGUUCAUCUCACAACC
This 927-nucleotide long non-coding RNA is filed under the name Medicago truncatula (barrel medic). RNAcentral describes it as "lncRNA gene45023". The record is from RNAcentral. Lineage: Eukaryota; Viridiplantae; Streptophyta; Magnoliopsida; Fabales; Fabaceae.